UUAAAUUGAAGAGUUUGAUCAUGGCUCAGAUUGAACGCUGGCGGCAGGCCUAACACAUGCAAGUCGAACGGUAGCAGGAAGAAGCUUGCUUCUUCGCU
RNAcentral lists this ribosomal RNA (98 nucleotides) under Escherichia coli. RNAcentral's name for it is "partial 16S ribosomal RNA". It matches the Rfam family "Bacterial small subunit ribosomal RNA", at positions 1 to 92 of the family's 1533-position model. The record is from RNAcentral. Lineage: Bacteria; Pseudomonadati; Pseudomonadota; Gammaproteobacteria; Enterobacterales; Enterobacteriaceae.